CAUUAUUAGUCUGGAAAUUAAUUGGUGGUAACUAUGCUUGAUUUCUCAGAGAUUAGAAGACUUGGCUCCUUGAUUUGGAAGCAGCGCUCGCUGCGACUUUGUUCUUUGGAAAUAGACAAGGUCUCAUUCCAGGAGGAUUUUCACAUUGAAGAUGAAUGGACACCAACUAGGGACACUGAGAACAAGGGCCUCAUGAUAUAAUGUUUGGCUGUCUCUUGAUGGGGAGGGCAAAUGUGCUCUUGUGGUCAAGUACGGGAGAGGUGGGUUCUGUCAUGUGGAGGUUUCUUUGAAAUUGUGCAUUUCACUCAUGGAGCAAAUGGUGCCAUUAUAAGCUCAGCACUGAGGUAUGUAAAUGUGGCAUUAAAACCUUCUUGAAGUAUCUGCUGUCUCAUCAUGUACGUGCUUCAAAGUGAUGCUAGUGCGUUAUAAUAAAGUAUACUUUUGAUGACAUA
Molecule: non-coding RNA, 452 nt
Organism: Ceratotherium simum simum (southern white rhinoceros)
Lineage: Eukaryota; Metazoa; Chordata; Mammalia; Perissodactyla; Rhinocerotidae
Source: RefSeq, a predicted model, not a curated record